GAAAAUGAUGAGAGUUAUUGUCGCCCCAGUCUUAAUUUGCACCCAAUAUAUUGGAUUUGCAAGGUGGUGAUUGACACAUCAUAUCUGAUUC
This 91-nucleotide small nucleolar RNA is filed under the name Solanum tuberosum (potato). RNAcentral's name for it is "snoRNA snoU31b". It matches the Rfam family "Small nucleolar RNA U31b". Lineage: Eukaryota; Viridiplantae; Streptophyta; Magnoliopsida; Solanales; Solanaceae. The record is from Rfam by way of RNAcentral.